CCCUAUGGGGUGCAGCAGUCGCGAAAACUCCGCAAUGCACGAAAGUGUGACGGGGCUACCCCGAGUGCCGUCCGCUGAGGAUGGCUUUUCCUUGGUAUAACUAGCCGAGGGAAUAAGGAGAGGGCAAGACUGGUGUCAGCCGCCGCGGUAAUACCAGCUCUCCGAGUGGUAGGGAUGAUUAUUGGGCUUAAAGCGUCCGUAGCCGGCUUAGCAAGUUUCCUGUUAAAUUCAGCGACCUAAUCGUUGAGCCGCGGGAAAUACUACUAGGCUAGGAGGCGGGAGAGGUCGACGGUACUUCCGGGGUAGGGGUGAAAUCCUAUAAUCCCGGGAGGACCACCAGUGGCGAAGGCUGUCGACUAGAACGCGCUCGACGGUGAGGGACGAAAGCUGGGGGAGCGAACCGGAUUAGAUACCCGGGUAGUCCCAGCUGUAAACGAUGCGGGCUAGGUGUUGGGGUGGCUACGUGCCACUUCAGUGCCGCAGGGAAGCCAUUAAGCCCGCCGCCUGGGGAGUACGGCCGCAAGGCUGAAACUUAAAGGAAUUGGCGGGGGAGCACCACAAGGCGUGAAGCUUGCGGUUCAAUUGGAGUCAACGCCGGGAACCUUACCGGGGGCGACAGCAGAAUGAGAGCCAGAUUGAAGGUCUUGCUGGACAAGCUGAGAGGUAGUGCAUGGCC
This 676-nucleotide ribosomal RNA is filed under the name uncultured crenarchaeote. RNAcentral's name for it is "bacterial SSU rRNA". It matches the Rfam family "Archaeal small subunit ribosomal RNA", at positions 321 to 999 of the family's 1478-position model. Lineage: Archaea; Thermoproteati; Thermoproteota. The record is from RNAcentral.